Long non-coding RNA from Vitis vinifera (wine grape), 713 nucleotides. RefSeq lists it as uncharacterized. The record is from RefSeq and is a predicted model, not a curated record. NCBI's taxonomy places the organism in Eukaryota, Viridiplantae, Streptophyta, Magnoliopsida, Vitales, Vitaceae. The transcript is spliced from 3 exons.
UUGCAAAGAAAACAUCUAAGAGGGAGCCAUCUUAGCAACUAGUGCAGGUGACAUCCAAAAAUUUUUCUUUACACAUUAGCUUAUGCAUUUGCACCAUUUAUAUAUGUGAGUACUAAUGUUAUUUUAUAAUUGAUCGAUUAGUGUCCAAGACAAGAAGGAGGGUUCGAAUGUGGCUACUUUGUUAUGAGAUUCAUUAAAGAGAUAAUUUUUUAUCCUACAAUUAUUGCUUCAAAGUUUGGUAAUAAAAAAAAAAACAUAUUCUCAAGUAGAAUUCGAUGAAAUUAGAGGAGAAUGGGCUACUUUUGUGCUACAACUAAUCAUGAAUCAUGUUGAUGCAUCAUGAUCACCAUGCAUGGUAUACACUCUUGGGAGGGUGAAAUGGAGAAUAAAAAGGAAGAAGAAGGCAACAAGAUUUUGGGUUUUUAAAUGCAACUCUUAUGUCAUACGUUGUAGGACAUAAACGUUACUUUAAUUGCAAUUGAGAAAUUUAGAUUUUUAGAUGGGACUUUUAUGUCAUUUUAUGGUUAGCUGGUUUUAUGCUUAUGAAAUGGAGGUAUACAUGAAUCUUGGGAUCUUUAACAUUUCUAAAUCAUGUUUUGGUAUGUAUUCACUCUUCUUUUUUAGUUUUGAUGGGUUUGAUAUGUUGGACGUACUAUCCUUUUGUGAACAUUUGAUAUACAAAUAUUAUUAGAUGAUCAAUGUAUUAUGAGUUA